UUGAUUGUUUGGAAACUUCUCUCAAAAGUCAGAAUGUUAAAAUUUUAUUGUAGGUAGCAUUAUUUAUGUUUACUAUAUGACUGUGUGAUGUGUCUGUUGAGAGUUCUAAGGUUUACCAGAUUUUAUUGUUUGGGUCUCAGGUGAAAAAUUUCUUUCAUUUAUCCUAGCUAUAAUUUUGUAGAAUCCUAGAUUUCAACAGUAAAAGAAAACCCAAGGCAAUGUCUGGGCCACCCUUCUGACUUUGGUGAAAACUGGUUCUCAUUGUGGUUACUGCUCCCUUACAGCCAGCUAAAAGAAGCCUAUACAUUUACCUCAGGAACGCAUUGGAAAUCCAUCUUGCAUCUUCCUUUUUCCUAGUGCCAUUUGCUGAUCAUAGUACCUGCUGAUUAAAUCUUAUCUCUGCCCUUCUGAGGUUUAUCCUAUCAGCUAUCCCUCUCUCUGCCUCUCUGUGUUGCUUUUACCACCCUCCCAGUUACUUCCUCUCAUUCAAUGAAGACUAACCAACUAGCUAAUUCUCUUCCUCUCUACUUUAAGUCUUGCCAUUAUCCUGGGUGACUUCCAGGUCUACAGGAACAACUGAUAGCUUUUUCUAGAAGUUUCUUGACUUUUUCACCUCCAUUAACCCUCCUCUCCACUUCACUUUAGCCGGUCCUCUGUGGAUAGAUAUAUCUGGGACACCACCAAGAAUCGUUCUACCUCUGACUAGAAACAAACAUCCCAUUUUGGACCAACGCACCAGUCCUUCAAUAGAUACCUUAUUGACAUGGUCUUCAGUCUAUGCUCUUCAACCUUAUAGGAAAUUUGUGUCUGAGACAGCUAGCUAUGUACCAAAGAUUCAUGUUCUCUUUUCUUAACGUAGAGUUUUUGCUGGGAAGUGGCUGCCCAGCCAAGUAUUAUAUUUCUUAGCUCCUCUUGCAUUUAAGUGAAGCCCCUAAUUCUUGUCAAGGACCCUGAGGGUAAGUGAUGUGUAAUAAUUCCAAGUCCAGGUGGUUAAGAAGUAAAUUUACUUUCUCCAGUUUUCUGGCUGAAUGUCAUACCCACAAGUGACUUUGGAAAGCAUAUAUUGAAAAUAUCAGGUCAUCUGUUAACCUAUGUCUUUGAAUGACUGUUGGAGCAGAACCCCUCAUCUAUCCUAAUCAGGAACACUCAAGUGAGUGAGUUAUUGUAUUAAGCCAUUGGAAUAUUGGUCUUUGUUACAGCAGCCAGUAUUGCUCUGAUUAUUAUUAAUAACUAAAUAUUUAUUUCCUUAAUCUUCCCCUGUCCACCUUCUUCACUCUUUUCUGUACUCAGUUUAGCUUCCUUGCCUAACACUUUCUUGCUGAUCUUGAACCAUGUGAACCUUUGUCCUUAUCUCCCUCCUGCUAGGAAAAAACACAAACUUGGAUUAGUCUAACUAUGUACUAUUUUGCUUGUGUCUCUGCUAUUCUGGGCUGCUGGAGAAUAUUGCAUAACUAUGUAGAUUUGUAUCACCACAAAUUCAUGGUUUCCAUCCUCACAUGGAUACCUAAGACUACACAAUUUUUCUAUUUUCCCAAGUCAACUUGCUCUCAUAUUCUCCUUAGGGGCUAUUUCAAACAUCUAUCCUUGACCCAUUCUUCAGCCCACUGUGGUCUUUAUUCACCUCCAUGACCCCCUAAGCUUUUUGAGCAGUGUUGGCUGUGUUGAUCCCUCCAUCUCUCUUGGUGCACUCUUCCCUUGGCUACUGUGAUGACCCAUGCUCCUGGUCUCUUUUUGUUUUUUGGUUUCUCAUUCACAGUCGCUUUGAGAAGGUCUAUUCCUCCACCCAUUCCUUGAAGGUUGGUGUUCCAAAAGGUUCUAUACAAGCCUCUUCUCUAUGUAAUAUAAUCCUCAUCUCUUCCCACGGCUAAAAGCUUGUUCCAUAUGCAGAUGACUCCCAAAAUUUUAUCUUCAAUCCUACCUUCUUUUUAAGCUUCAGAGACUUAUUUCCAACAGCCAGCUACAUAUUUACAUGUGUAUGCCCACAGCACCUCGAAGUCAGCAUGUCCUGAAGAGAGAACAGCAUCUUCUGUGCCAGCCUGCCUCUUCUUCUGUAAAACAUUGGAAAUAGCACCAUGACCCGCCUUACUACCUAUGCUGGAAAUUCACACUUUAGAGAUGUUGACUCACUCAUUUCUGGUCUCCAUGAUUUCUGAUGAAAAAUCAGCAGUAAAUUAAAUCAUUGUUCAAAUGUA
This is a non-coding RNA of Ceratotherium simum simum (southern white rhinoceros), 2192 nucleotides long. NCBI's taxonomy places the organism in Eukaryota, Metazoa, Chordata, Mammalia, Perissodactyla, Rhinocerotidae. The record is from RefSeq and is a predicted model, not a curated record.